CCUACGGGAGGCAGCAGUGGGGAAUAUUGGACAAUGGGCGCAAGCCUGGUCCAGCAAUGCCGCGUGAGUGAUGAAGGCCUUAGGGUCGUAAAGCUCUUUUACCAGGGAUGAUAAUGACAGUACCUGGAGAAUAAGCUCCGGCUAACUCCGUGCCAGCAGCCGCGGUAAUACGGAGGGAGCUAGCGUUGUUCGGAAUUACUGGGCGUAAAGCGUACGUAGGCGGUUAUUCAAGUCAGAGGUGAAAGCCCGGGGCUCAACCCCGGAACGGCCUUUGAAACUAGGUAGCUAGAAUCUUGGAGAGGUCAGUGGAAUUCCGAGUGUAGAGGUGAAAUUCGUAGAUAUUCGGAAGAACACCAGUGGCGAAGGCGACUGACUGGACAAGUAUUGACGCUGAGGUACGAAAGCGUGGGGAGCAAACAGGAUUAGAUACCCUGGUAGUCCACGCCGUAAACGAUGAUAACUAGCUGUCCGGGCACUUGGUGCCUGGGUGGCGCAGCUAACGCAUUAAGUUAUCCGCCUGGGGAGUACGGUCGCAAGAUUAAAACUCAAAGAUAUAGGACGUGNGAGUGCGACGAGCACCAGGAGGUAG
RNAcentral lists this ribosomal RNA (589 nucleotides) under uncultured bacterium. RNAcentral's name for it is "bacterial SSU rRNA". It matches the Rfam family "Bacterial small subunit ribosomal RNA", at positions 338 to 944 of the family's 1533-position model. The record is from RNAcentral.